RNAcentral lists this transfer RNA (74 nucleotides) under Prevotellaceae bacterium. Its description in RNAcentral is "tRNA-Arg". It matches the Rfam family "tRNA". From Rfam's summary of the family: Transfer RNA (tRNA) molecules are approximately 80 nucleotides in length. Their secondary structure includes four short double-helical elements and three loops (D, anti-codon, and T loops). Further hydrogen bonds mediate the characteristic L-shaped molecular structure. tRNAs have two regions of fundamental functional importance: the anti-codon, which is responsible for specific mRNA codon recognition, and the 3' end, to which the tRNAs corresponding amino acid is attached (by aminoacyl-tRNA synthetases). tRNAs cope with the degeneracy of the genetic code in two manners: having more than one tRNA (with a specific anti-codon) for a particular amino acid; and 'wobble' base-pairing, i.e. permitting non-standard base-pairing at the 3rd anti-codon position. The record is from RNAcentral. Lineage: Bacteria; Pseudomonadati; Bacteroidota; Bacteroidia; Bacteroidales; Prevotellaceae.
GGUCGCGUAGCUUAACUGAAUAGAGCCCCUGACUACGGAUCAGGAGGUUACAGGUUUGAAUCCUGUCGCGAUCA